Molecule: non-coding RNA, 101 nt
Filed under: Durinskia baltica
Lineage: Eukaryota; Dinophyceae; Peridiniales; Kryptoperidiniaceae
Source: RNAcentral
AGUUGUGGCGAAUUUUGAAAUUGUGUAAUGUGUGCUGUCUGUGUUGUUGUUUUUGUUGUUGUUGCUGUAGCUUUUGUUGCUGUUGUGAGAUAAACGACAAA